RNAcentral lists this ribosomal RNA (253 nucleotides) under uncultured bacterium. RNAcentral's name for it is "partial 16S ribosomal RNA". It matches the Rfam family "Bacterial small subunit ribosomal RNA", at positions 524 to 776 of the family's 1533-position model. The record is from RNAcentral.
UACGGAGGGGACUAGCGUUGUUCGGAAUUACUGGGCGUAAAGCGCACGUAGGCGGAUUGCUAAGUCAGGGGUGAAAUCCUGGAGCUCAACUCCAGAACUGCCUUUGAUACUGGCGAUCUUGAGUCCGGGAGAGGUGAGUGGAACUGCGAGUGUAGAGGUGAAAUUCGUAGAUAUUCGCAAGAACACCAGUGGCGAAGGCGGCUCACUGGCCCGGUACUGACGCUGAGGUGCGAAAGCGUGGGGAGCAAACAGG